RNAcentral lists this ribosomal RNA (213 nucleotides) under uncultured fungus. RNAcentral's name for it is "partial small subunit ribosomal RNA". The stretch from base 89 to 213 matches the Rfam family "Eukaryotic small subunit ribosomal RNA", at positions 738 to 864 of the family's 1831-position model. Lineage: Eukaryota; Fungi. The record is from RNAcentral.
GAGGAGAGUUCUCGGUCUCGGUUCGCCGUGUACUGGGACACUCGAAUCUUUUUUCUGGGGAAACGAGGUGCCUUAACUGUGUGCCUCGGGGAACCAGGACGAUUACCUUGAGAAAAAUAGAGUGUUCAAAGCAGGCAAUCCGCUUGAAUACGUUAGCAUGGAAUAAUAAAAUAGGACUUUGGUUCUAUUUUGUUGGUUUUAAGGACCGAUGUC